RNAcentral lists this ribosomal RNA (452 nucleotides) under uncultured Hydrogenophaga sp. RNAcentral describes it as "bacterial SSU rRNA". It matches the Rfam family "Bacterial small subunit ribosomal RNA", at positions 923 to 1382 of the family's 1533-position model. Lineage: Bacteria; Pseudomonadati; Pseudomonadota; Betaproteobacteria; Burkholderiales; Comamonadaceae. The record is from RNAcentral.
GCACAAGCGGUGGAUGAUGUGGUUAAUUCGAUGCAACGCGAAAACCUUACCACCUUUGACAUGUACGGAAUCCUUUAGAGAUAGAGGAGUGCUCGAAAGAGAGCCGUAACACAGGUGCUGCAUGGCUGUCGUCAGCUCGUGUCGUGAGAUGUUGGGUUAAGUCCCGCAACGAGCGCAACCCUUGUCAUUAGUUGCUACGAAAGGGCACUCUAAUGAGACUGCCGGUGACAAACCGGAGGAAGGUGGGGAUGACGUCAAGUCCUCAUGGCCCUUAUAGGUGGGGCUACACACGUCAUACAAUGGCCGGUACAAAGGGCAGCCACUUAGCGAUAAGGAGCCAAUCCCGUAAAGCCGGUCUCAGUCCGGAUUGGAGUCUGCAACUCGACUCCAUGAAGUUGGAAUCGCUAGUAAUCGCAGAUCAGCACGCUGCGGUGAAUACGUUCUCGGGCCUU